This 1120-nucleotide long non-coding RNA is filed under the name Anneissia japonica. Its description in RNAcentral is "uncharacterized LOC117114446, transcript variant X2". Lineage: Eukaryota; Metazoa; Echinodermata; Crinoidea; Comatulida; Comatulidae. The record is from RNAcentral.
UCUAUCUCUUUUUAAUUUCUUUUGAAUAUAAAUUAAAUACUGUACUUAAUUGAUUUAUUAUUGCCCACUUGAAUUGUAUAGCCCUAGGUGCUGCAGUGUUCUUUAUGUAGAGCGCCAUAUUAAAAUGCUCAAUGUGUUUAGCAGUACUAUCCACUAUGGCGAAUUGUCUCUACUAAAGUUAAAAACUCAAUCAAGUGUGGUGGUGUAGGGAAGUAUUUUGUUUGUUUGAAAGCCUUACUGUGUCUGUGGCAGUUGAUUGAACAAACAGAAAAUUACCUGCUUUCGUCAAAGAAACCCAAAAGUGGCGCUGACAGCGCUCCAGUUGAAGCUGUCUCUGAGGAAAAUGUCAUCAACGAGGAAGCUGUCAUCAACGAGGAGGCUUAUAAUGAUGUGGAAGAAGUAGGAGGUUCUGACAAUGAGGAUUGAAUAGCAUUUUCCAUCUGAGUAAUCUAAUACUAAGUAGGGCUUUUGCUAUAUGGUACCCUCCUUUCCAAUAUGAUUCAAUAUCUAUUUUUGUUUGUCAGUGGGAGCUGUUAGGUUACCCAAUUACACUACACCUGCAAUGCAUCACCUUAGAAUCUAAGACAAAAGUUUUAAACUUGUGUACUUGCUUGUAGAAACCUGACAGUGAGUGCAUGAGUAGCAGAAACGGUCAGUCAAAAACAGGCUUAAUAUUAGGGCUUAACCGAUAAUCUGAUUGGACAGGCUAUAUAUGCAUAUGCCGAUAUGUAACCAAUUCACAAUACAACCUGAUUGUAAUGCGUAAACUCCCAAAACAUGGGCAAAAAAAUCUCAAAAAUCAAAGCAGAAUUAUAACAAAAUUUAAAAUAACACUGUCAUAGUAGUCUUUCUUUAAACUUUCCAGUGAACUUUUCAUCAUAGGUGAGGGCAGUCUGACAGUUAUAGAAAAUACAUGCAUGAAACUCAAUGUUUAUAUCCCUGACAGAGAGAAAGAUAGGAGCCUGGAAAUGAAAUUGUGAGAUCUAACAUCGGUGGAAGUAAAGUAUUGUAUUCCUUUCAUUUGAGAAAUUAUAAUUUGCACUGGAUGAUGAAGCUAAUCCUGGUUGGAGAACAUUACUAAAUUUGUAUUCUCUUGUAAUAAAGGACAAUUUCCACAUUC